AGUGAACGCUGGCGGUAGGCCUAACACAUGCAAGUCGAACGGCAGCACAGUAAGAGCUUGCUCUUACGGGUGGCGAGUGGCGGACGGGUGAGGAAUACAUCGGAAUCUACUUUUUCGUGGGGGAUAACGUAGGGAAACUUACGCUAAUACCGCAUACGACCUACGGGUGAAAGCAGGGGAUCUUCCGACCUUGCGCGAUUGAAUGAGCCGAUGUCGGAUUAGCUAGUUGGCGGGGUAAAGGCCCACCAAGGCGACGAUCCGUAGCUGGUCUGAGAGGAUGAUCAGCCACACUGGAACUGAGACACGGUCCAGACUCCUACGGGAGGCAGCGGUGGGGAAUAUUGGACAAUGGGCGCAAGCCUGAUCCAGCCAUACCGCGUGAGUGAAGAAGGCCUUCGGGUUGUAAAGCCCUUUUGUUGGGAAAGAAAAGCAGCAGGUUAAUACCCCGCUGUUCUGACGGUACCCAAAGAAUAAGCACCGGCUAACUUCGUG
RNAcentral lists this ribosomal RNA (492 nucleotides) under uncultured bacterium. RNAcentral's name for it is "partial 16S ribosomal RNA". It matches the Rfam family "Bacterial small subunit ribosomal RNA", at positions 29 to 507 of the family's 1533-position model. The record is from RNAcentral.